GAUGAACGCUGGCGGCGUGCUUAAUACAUGCAAGUCGAACGGAGGUAUGUAGCAAUACGUAUCUUAGUGGCGAACGGGUGAGUAACACGUUGGUGACCUACCCCAGAGAGGGGGAUAACAGCUCGAAAGGGCUGCUAAUACCGCAUGAGAUCCACCUAGUUAGAGAGGGUGGAUGAAAGGAGUAAUCCGCUUUGGGGAGGGACCUGCGUCCCAUCAGCUAGUUGGUAGGGUAACGGCCUACCAAGGCGACGACGGGUAGGGGGCCUGAGAGGGUCGGCCCCCCACACUGGAACUGAAACACGGUCCAGACACCUACGGGUGGCAG
RNAcentral lists this ribosomal RNA (325 nucleotides) under uncultured Chloroflexota bacterium. RNAcentral's name for it is "bacterial SSU rRNA". It matches the Rfam family "Bacterial small subunit ribosomal RNA", at positions 28 to 351 of the family's 1533-position model. The record is from RNAcentral. Lineage: Bacteria; Bacillati; Chloroflexota.